UACUCGGCCCGAUUUAUGAUU
RNAcentral lists this non-coding RNA (21 nucleotides) under Caenorhabditis elegans. The record is from RNAcentral. Lineage: Eukaryota; Metazoa; Nematoda; Chromadorea; Rhabditida; Rhabditidae.